Molecule: ribosomal RNA, 1124 nt
Filed under: Escherichia coli
Lineage: Bacteria; Pseudomonadati; Pseudomonadota; Gammaproteobacteria; Enterobacterales; Enterobacteriaceae
Description: partial 23S ribosomal RNA
Rfam family: Bacterial large subunit ribosomal RNA
Source: RNAcentral
AGCGUCGGUAAGGUGAUAUGAACCGUUAUAACCGGCGAUUUCCGAAUGGGGAAACCCAGUGUGAUUCGUCACACUAUCAUUAACUGAAUCCAUAGGUUAAUGAGGCGAACCGGGGGAACUGAAACAUCUAAGUACCCCGAGGAAAAGAAAUCAACCGAGAUUCCCCCAGUAGCGGCGAGCGAACGGGGAGCAGCCCAGAGCCUGAAUCAGUGUGUGUGUUAGUGGAAGCGUCUGGAAAGGCGCGCGAUACAGGGUGACAGCCCCGUACACAAAAAUGCACAUACUGUGAGCUCGAUGAGUAGGGCGGGACACGUGGUAUCCUGUCUGAAUAUGGGGGGACCAUCCUCCAAGGCUAAAUACUCCUGACUGACCGAUAGUGAACCAGUACCGUGAGGGAAAGGCGAAAAGAACCCCGGCGAGGGGAGUGAAAAAGAACCUGAAACCGUGUACGUACAAGCAGUGGGAGCCUCUUUUAUGGGGUGACUGCGUACCUUUUGUAUAAUGGGUCAGCGACUUAUAUUCUGUAGCAAGGUUAACCGAAUAGGGGAGCCGAAGGGAAACCGAGUCUUAACCGGGCGUUAAGUUGCAGGGUAUAGACCCGAAACCCGGUGAUCUAGCCAUGGGCAGGUUGAAGGUUGGGUAACACUAACUGGAGGACCGAACCGACUAAUGUUGAAAAAUUAGCGGAUGACUUGUGGCUGGGGGUGAAAGGCCAAUCAAACCGGGAGAUAGCUGGUUCUCCCCGAAAGCUAUUUAGGUAGCGCCUCGUGAAUUCAUCUCCGGGGGUAGAGCACUGUUUCGGCAAGGGGGUCAUCCCGACUUACCAACCCGAUGCAAACUGCGAAUACCGGAGAAUGUUAUCACGGGAGACACACGGCGGGUGCUAACGUCCGUCGUGAAGAGGGAAACAACCCAGACCGCCAGCUAAGGUCCCAAAGUCAUGGUUAAGUGGGAAACGAUGUGGGAAGGCCCAGACAGCCAGGAUGUUGGCUUAGAAGCAGCCAUCAUUUAAAGAAAGCGUAAUAGCUCACUGGUCGAGUCGGCCUGCGCGGAAGAUGUAACGGGGCUAAACCAUGCACCGAAGCUGCGGCAGCGACACUGUGUGUUGUUGGGUAGGGGAGCGU